CAUUGAUUUUAACUGCUCUAUCUUGCAAGUUACAAGUUCUGAGACCCCAUUUUCAAACCUCUCUUCCACUUUGUUUUUUUUUGCUUUGCUUGAAGGCAAGCAAAGACUAAGUUUGGGAGAGUUGAUAAGUCUGUAUUUCAUCAUUUUUUGAGCAUGUAUUCAUCAUCUUUUUAGCAUUAUUGACUUGUUGAUUCGCAUCAUAUUGAUCACUUUCUGCAUGUUUUGCAUACUUAGGUAGGUUUUGUGCAUAUCAUGCAUGUAUUGCAUAUUGGAGUGUUUCAGGUACUAAGCAGACAUGCAACACAACGUAGAGGAACAAGUAUCACUCGACAUGCACACGAUCGAGUAGGAUGAUCGAGUAAGCAGCAGAGAUACAUUGCAAAUACAUCGACGAUCGAUUGAGCAGGAGGCGUACAAGUUCGAGUAGCAGAUCGAGUGAGUAGAAGGGACGCAAAGCAGAAUCACCUGUCACUCGAUGCAUAGACUUGAGUGACACGGUCGAGCAAAGCAAAGGAGUAGCAGAUGAUUUCACAGAUCACUCGACACGCUCACUCGAGAUACAUGGUUGAGUAAGCUGUAAUGAUGCAGAGAAGAAAUUAUGUGUUACUCGACACGCUCACUCGACCAACAAGGUCAGUACAACUUUUAAACCGCUUUUUACUUUGUCGUUUUAUGUUUAAAAUUUUUUCCAAACAUUGGUAUAAAUAGGUCUCUUUUCGCAUUGCCCAGGGGAUCGAGUUUUUAUCUUUAGGUUUUUUAUGUUAGCCACAAAACAAUCCAGAAAAUUGUAGUUCAGAUAUCUUUUAAGUUAUUAAGAUUUUGCACUUAGUUCUUGGAUCAUUAUUGUUAAUCUUCCUAUCAUCUUUAUUACUAUGCAUGUUUUGUAGAAUUCUUGGUUUAUGAUGUUUAACAUGAUUUUUGUGUCUCAGUAGUGUUAGGGUUCUUGAGGAUGAUAUAGAUUAGGUGGAGAAUGUUAGUUUACUAGAGUGUUUAAGUUAGAUUCGUUUGUUCCCUUCUGGAUUAGAGUAUUCAUAGCUAAUUCUUCUCUGAUCAAGUGGAAUUAGAUCCCAGACAUUUCAGGACCUACCAUGUGUUCGAUGAAAUGUCUGAACAACUAAUACAAGAGAAAUACUUGCUUAGCCUAAGAGAUUAUGUGUCUAAGAAGUUUAUUUACAUUAAUGAACUGUUUUUUCAUGCCUGUUUACUGCAUGUUUCAUCAAAGAGAUUUGAGAUUAGGAAGUGCUGUAAAAAUGAUAGUUUAUGCCAAGAGAUUGGAUUAACUAGUAUUUGAUGUUCAUUGUCUAGGGAUUAGUAUAUUUGUCGUUUGUUAAACACUCUAAGUAGAUUAGCAUACUCCACCUACAUCAAUUACCUCAUCCUUAGGAUCUUCUAUCCAUUUGUGAUUUCUGUUUUAUUCACUUGCUAUUUACUUAUUCUAUUCUGUCUUCUUGCUAGUAUUGAUAAUCAUUACGUUUUAGCUUAUGCAUGAUAGCCAAUAUUUUGCAGCCUUACAUUUAUCGCAUGUUUAACAUGUUCGCUUAGGAUCAUUGAAAACCAAAAUCAUUUAUACUUUGCUUGCCUUAAUUAUUUCUGAUAUAUCUUGAUUGCUAGCAUCACACCUGAUUGGACUGAUACCUAUUGUACUGCAAUGACAUGAUAGUACUCUAGGGUAAUUGGUAGUAAAAUCCUAGUCUCACAAGCAAUCUAAGCAAACAACCUAGAAAACAAUCUAGACUCGAGCAAACAAGCAUAAGGCAAACCUAGCAAGCAAGACUUCUAGUACUCCAACACUUAGCCUACAAAGAACAAGGAAACUUCUCUGAGAAAAGUUCUAAAGUUCAAAGGCUCCCUAUCAUGCAUCUACAAAAGAGAGGGUUUCGGGUAUCUUACUCGGAUUUUGUAAAAGGGUUGGCUAAGAAGGCUUGAAAGAAAAGUUUGAAUAAUCAUGAAGAAUAUCCAACGCUUUAAAAGUACAACCGCUGUUGAAGUUCAAGCUAAAAACGCUCCUAAAUUUACAAAAUCUAGUCGAGAAGACAUAGAUAAGAAAGCUACCCUUAGCCCAAUCCUAACAAAAGACUUACUACCCUUCCCUUACUGGUCGCAGAGACUUUUGCACUUUUCACAAGGGCAGAAGUUUGUCGGUGGCUUACCUGCUCCGGAUGUGGGACAAUGGGUGGGACGGAUGUGGAGGAGGCGGCUGCGUCGACGGUCCGGCUUCGGCAGAUGGCCCUCUAGCGGUCGGUUAUGGGCAAUGGAAUGAUUAAUGCACAUAACGUACGACGACGUCAGUGGGAUUGAGGCAUCAAGCCUUGGACAGUUCACGGUUCGGUGGUUGAUCGAUCCACACGAACCACAAAGAAUGAAACAUGUCCGAUGGUUUCAUGUAGAGUUUCUCACAUAUUUUCAUGCAGAUGCCCUUGUUCUCGAACUUCCUCUUGCCGGCGACUCCACUAGGCAUGGAACGCGACCUUCUCUCUCGUCGGUAACUCUUGGGCGCUUCCGGCUGGCUUCUCCUUCAAGUCGGACUCUUGUCUUAACAAGAUUUCCUUCGGUCACCAUCUGGUUGACUAUCUCCAUCAAACGGUCUUGGGGCUGGUCUUCAAUCUUCCUUAGGCGAUAAAGCGUGGCUUCAUUACUUAAUUAUGCUUCCAACAUCAUCGGGUCAAAUCUUGGGAUUGGUUCUUCUUCUGGCAGCUCAGGUGCAUUGACAUUAAGGUCGGGCAAUGCAACUUGGGACUCGACGGAUAUUGGCUCACUUUGGGCGGACGGACGGGUUCUUGGUCUGACUUCGAUCGUUAACAUUGUUGGAUGGCUACGACAACUUCUAAAACUCCUUCUUCUUCCAGGGUAAGAGACUCGAACGACUCGGACGUCUCUUCUUCUUCUUUGCUGGAUCGGUCUUCACUCGAUCCUCCAUCAUCUCCAUCGGCAACUAGGUCGAUAAUCGGUCCGGGAACAAUUUCUUCUUCCAUUGGGUCUACGUCUUGGUCGGCUACUUCGGCUACUUGGUCAUUUCCUUCAAUAUUCGGCAACUGGAACAUCCCCAUCAGAAUCUCGUUCGAUGUUCCGGCUGGCUCUCCCAUCAAUUUGGCCCACAAGGCUGCUGCUUCAGGGUUGAUGUUCAUGGCUGGGAAAUCCAUGAACUCAAGUAAAAUGUGUUGAAUUUGAUCGGCAGCUUCAGCAUCUUCAUGGUCAUAUCCUCCGAUUGGGACUGCAACAAUUCUUCCUGGAUCAUCUAAUGUGAUCUCGAUCUCGCUUGGUGCUCUUUGGUUUGCUUUGACUGACUGAUCGUCUUGAUUAACUUUGACUUCGAUAGGGGCUUUGAGAUCUUUGGAUGGAUCUUUUUCCACUGAUGAUUCGACUUCGACUUUCACAAAUGGGUUUAAGUUCUGAGUAACGCUGAACGAGGUGCUACUACUAUCGGAAUCGGCAGGUAGCCAUCCACACAGAUGGCCAGGUUCGUCAUGAAUCGGCCUUCGUCCCUCAUACCCCUUUCCACAACCAAAUGCACCUAUAGACAUCUGCACCAGACAAACAAGUAAGCACCUAUACUUGGUCUAAAAACAGAAAACCCUAUAUGCAAAACAACUAGACAAACAAUCGGAUCUAAAUAUGUUUUUGCGACUCAUUUACUCGAUAAAAUGUUUUUGAAAAGCAUGUUUACAAAGAAAAGUUACCAAAGCGUUUAUAAGUUGGAUCCAUCGAGAAAAUAAUACAUAAUAGAAGAGUAAUAUUUUGCAAAAAACAUGAAAAAUAUUCUGACUCCGGCUCCUAAUUUUUGCUACAGUCUAGACUCCUUAAGAAUAAACCUGCAAAACAAAAUGAGCUUUGAGUAAUCUAGUAUUACUCAGUGAGCCGGAUACCUCCAACCUAUCAUGCAAUUUCCCCCCCCCCCCCCCCCAAAAAAACCUCAAAAGCAAAGAAGGUCAGAAAAGCGUUAGCGGAAGCAUAGAAAGCAAACAAGCAAGACAAACUAAGACUCGACUAAUCAGACUUAAGCUAAGAAUCGCUAGACUCCACUCCCUAGCCUAUCGAUAAUCUGAUCCGUUCCUUUUUAAAAUUCAUCUCUGGAUGAAACCACGAAGGCAUUCAGUCCGGAGGAGACAUCUUGGUUACAUCGUCAUGCAACAUCUUGGGCUAGUCGCGAGCUUGUGACCAAGCAUCCUGGUCAAAGACCUGAGAAACCACAAAGGUUAACUCUUCGAGACCCGCAUCGCCAUCGUCGAGGAAACAAAUUAUCAAACCUAAGAAUCAAGUCUACAGAUCUGAAACUAAGGACUCUCUGAAAGCAAGAAAUUCUACACAAAGAAGAUCAGUACUAGAAGAGAUAAAAAACAAGCAAGCAAGCAAAACAAGCAAUCAACAAGUAAACAAAGCAAAGCAAGCAAGUAAACGUGUGAUUAAUCUAGGUGAUAGUUCUCAGUGAUACUAAGAAACAAGACCUAUCCGGAUUAACAGGCGGAUUCAUUUUAGUUGGUCAUAUUAGCAAGCACUAUCUUGUAAUUAAGCCGGAUUGUUUAAGCAUGUAGGUUCAUAUUUGCAGAAAUUAAAGCCUAUCAUGCAGGUUCUACAAAAGAAAAGGCAAGCAAAACACGCAAUAGGUUCAUACACAAGUCCAGAGACUUAUGCAGCACCCCACACAAUUUGUAUCGUACUAACAGUGUUUUUAUCGACAAUUUCUUCCUUUCUCUCAGCGAGGCACGCUCAUGAACACUCCUUCUUUUUGGCUCAACCUUCGGUAGCAGACCUCUCGACUCUGGCAACAGAUUUGUCGAUCCUUCGGCAGCAAUUAAUCGAUCGGAGGGGCAAGUUUCUCGAACGAAACUUUCAAGAGUGAGAGAGAGAUUCUUUAGAGUGAGAGAGUUGUGUCGUUUGGGCUAACGAACACAAAUGAUGUUUCACUGCCUCAAUUUAUAGCCUUUAGCUUCGGGAAAAAUAGCUAGCUUCGGAAAACGCAUGCAUUCGCCAGGUGUAGGUUCAUGUUUGGCAAAACAAGCCAUCUCUCGCUACCGGACACGUGGCAGCCAUGGAGAAGAAACGGGAUUCUGUCUGAUUGCAUCCAUUGAAUCUUCUCCCAUAUCUUUGCAAGAUAUCUUUCAGUACUGAACAUGAAUUAGUCUUUACCCCUUCACGUUUGUACUAUCUUCAUUUGUAAUAUUCUUUUAGAUACUGGUAUUAAAUUUUAAAUUAAUGAAAUCGUGACUUUGAUGAUCUUUUAUAAAUUACGUUCAAAGUCGUUUUCACGUUUCAUCUUGAUAGUUAGAAGAACUAAUUGAAUAUUAAAAUUUGAUACAAGAUGACUACUUUUGCUGUUUGGUAGUUACUAUAUAAAUAAAAUGAAUAACUAUAAAUUUGAAUAUCAUACUCAAUCAUUUUAUAAUGCUAAAUCAAAAAAUAUACAUAUACAAAAGUAAAAAAAAAUUGUCUGCAGUUUGCUAUGGGUUAAAUCUUAUUAAUGUGUAAUUUGGACACGAAGAUUUUGUAAAUACAUUUGUAUUUUAUUCAUAUAUUUAUUUUACCUAAUAUGAUUUUAAUUAUAGUGCAUUUAAAAAAAAAUAUUAUCUAUUUAAUUAUAGUUUUUCUACAUUCCACUAUAUAUAUUCAAUAGAAAAUAUUAUCUGUAUCACAUUUUUGGAGUACAAAUUUGUGACUCAUCUAAAAUUACACAUUAAAUAAAAAAAUUUCUUCAUUAUUCUAUAGUAAAAAUAAAUCAACUCAAUCUAUUGAUAUAAUAUGAAAUCUUUAAAAAAAAAAAAAAAAAAAAAAAAAAAAAAAAACAAUUGUUCUGUGGAGUACCACGGGGUAAAUUAUAUUUAUUGUAAUAUAUAUUUAGCCAUAUACAAAUAUGUUUUUAGAACAUGAGUUUAUAAAACAAAAAUUAUAAUGGUUCAGAUAAUUUAAACCAGACAAAUUUGGUGGUAACUUAUAUUAAUGAGCAUUAAAACAAUAUAUUUAUAUGUUGUAAUAUUCAGUUAAUAUAGUGCUAUAUACACCGUGGUUAAAAUUGACGAAUAUUGGAAUACAUUAUCAUAUAAAAGUAUAAAACUGGAAAUAUAUAUACCAUAAAAAUACAUUGUUCAUGUUGGACCUCUAAGAAUUUAAACGAACUUUGUAUAGAAUUGAUUAAACUAUAACGGUUAAGAUUAUAUAUAAGAGAGAAACAUUUAAUAAUGGCCCCGUGGUGUAUCACUGGGUAAAAUCUAGUGUUAUGUAUUUUUUAAUACAUUAUUUUAACGACUUCAUCGCCGUUGCUAUGACAUGUGCGCACGGUAUGCUGAGGCAUUGGUACUCAUUGCAUGGAUAGGUCCCGUCAAAUAGUUUACCCAAGAAGCAUUCUCCAUUCUUAAUCUGGACUUGGAACUCAAAAUCGCUAAUAGGCCUCACCGCCAUCGCCAUUGCUAGUUCGAAGUUUUCGUCAACUAUAGUCCUAACGUUUGGAGCGACUAUAGAAAUAGACCGCUCGGCUCUUGAAAUCCAGAUUGCAAACCACUCCAUAACCGUCGUGCGAAUCUAUUCAAGCAUACAUAUGAGUAGAUAUUCUCUCGCCUCUCGAAGUACUUGGUUCCAUGAUUCGGCAAUGUUACUAUCCAUGAUAUUGUAUCUUUUCCCUGGGAAAUGGACUCUUGUCCAGUGUGCAAAGCCUGUAACAUAUAAUUGUUAUGUUGUUAUCACAUUUUUUUAUUGUUAUGGUAUAUUACUAUUACCAACCAUUUUUGAAACAUUUUAAGACUCACCAAUGUCAACGAGGUAGGCUGCACAUUCGGGGUUAAGUCUCUAAAUUUGGAGGAAUUGUUUGUUGAAGUCCUCAAUCACAAAAGCCCUUGCGGCUGAGGACAUCAUCCCUACUAAAUUAGACGGCUUGUAUAGGUGACGAAUAUUACGCCACAAAUGAACAGUGCAAGCGGCAUGGUGAGUUUCAGAAUACACCUACAUCGAAAUAGUAACGAACAUGUGUUAAUUAAUUAUAACAAACUGGCUAUAGACAGCUUAUACUUGUAAUUAACAUAAAUGAGAAGCAAAAAUAGAAAUACCUUACGCAGUCCGGCAUAUAUACUUGAAUUGCGAUCAGAGAUGAAGACCAGUUCCGAAGAAUCAUGAACAAAAAAGCUUAGGCGUUGGAAGAACCAUUCCCAUGCGUCAUCGUUUUCGAUGUCUACAAUUGCAAACGCGAGGGGAAAUAUCUGAAAAUUUCCGUCUUGACUACAUGUAGUAAGUAAGCAGCCACCAUAAUGUGCUUUCAUUGACGUCUCAUCAGCAACCAAAACUUUUCUCAUGAAUUGGUAACCUUUAACAGAAGCUCCAUAGGCAAUAAACUGGUAUUUGAAGCGAAUGUGACCAUCAAGAUCAUCGACAUGUUCAGUGAAACAUGUAGAACAUGGAUUGGUUUGUUCAAGGAGACCAACAUAAGCGGGGAGGAGGGCAUAGCUGCCGGCCAUUCAGCCAAGUGACAUCUCCAUUGCUACCUCCCUUACACGCCAUUCCUUCCAAUAUGAAAUGUUGAUGUGGAACUCGUCUAGAAGUAUUUUUCUUAUAGAAUUUGCGUUUGGUCCUCUUUUAACUCCAACAAAUCGGCUUUGCAUAAUCUCCCCGAUCAUUUGUGUCGUUGCUAGGCGAUGGUAACAUCUACGCUCAUCAACAGUACAUGUAUGCUUAAAGUUUGCCUGGCAGACUUGGAAAUGACCACUUGCAUCUAACUUUGCUGCAUAAACACGCCAUGGACACGUUCCCCCAAUGCAUUUAAGUACCAUAAACUUGGAAGUAGAACGGCUUGUGCGGAAAUGAAACUUUCUGUUGAUAGCGUGUAUGGAAAUCUUUAUUUUGCAAUCGUUUUUGGAUUUAAAAACCCGGCCAAUGAAUAUAUUGUCCACUUCAUAUCGCAUAUCAGAAAUGGCACUCGCAACACCUACAAAUAAAUUUGUUUUGUUAGUAAGGAUUUGUGUAAGGGCAAAAAGCAUACAAUGUGUAGGUUAGUGUUAAGUAAGCUUACAUUGCCCUUUGCCAUCGUUAAAAACUGGAGGUGCGUUACGGUUGAAUAGAGCCGGAUCAUUGGUCAUGUUGCUUAGCAUGCUAUGUAACGCAUCUUCUACACGUCCCCAAACCGAAACAGAAUUGACUUCCCUUUGAGCGUCCCCAACAGUUCCACUUUCAUUUGAGCUAGGUUCAGAACAUGGUAAUCUUCUAGCAUGGUGUGAUGCCACAACCGCAAUCAUGGUCCUAGCUUGGCUACAUUCAACUUGACUUGGAAUUUCUGCUUGUAUGAACAGGACAAUCUGAUGGUCGUUUUCUUCAUUGUCACUAUCGCUAUUAUGCCAUGUUGGUUCAGCUACGCCCUUUCCUUUGUCAAGGGGGUCAGCCGGGUGUCUGACUGCGUUGCUACCACCCCCACGUUCUUGAACUGUUAUACCUUUGCAGGUAGAUGAGACAGAUGCCAUAACAAUGAACUCUUCGGCACCAGCGGCCUCUUUUGGUUGCUCUAGUGGAGGCGAUGCACUCGUGUAGCUUAGUGCAAAGUCAUGCCAAUAGCUGUCAGAAUCUUCGCCAUCCGAAUCUCCAUCACCGUGAUCCGGCACAUAGUUACGCCAGUCCUUCUUCUUUUUCGGCGGAGGAACAUAUUGUGGUGAUAAUUUUCUUACAACCUUUACAAAUAGGUCAAUCCAUCUAUGUAUCGCCGAAGGCGGAGGAAAAAUUCAACAUCAUAGUCCUCCGUUAUGUAUUGUGGAUUUUUGCCUUCGUCAUGAUCAACCCAAGAUGGAUAUUUAUACGACAAUUUCACCACCGCAUUGUGAGCCCGAAUGCCUAGCCUCUCUUUAACACGCGCAACCAGAACUUUGUAUGGCAUUUUGUCACGCAGCCUCGCCAAGUUGUUCACUGGGACUGUUUCAGCUUCAAAGUUCCAAACGUUGUCAUCAACCCUAACCCACUCGCCCAAUAUGACACGAACUUGAUCUUCCCAGCCAUCUGCAAAAUAAACAUAAAAAAAGACAGGAUUAGACGGUAGAUUUUUGAUUGGAGUAACUAUCAUAUCGAUGGCAUUACGUUAGAAAACUGCAAAAACACAAAAUUGAGCGGCUUCCUUUUUAAUCUACUAAAUCAAGUCAACGUAAUAAUUUUCAGAUCUCAUGUAGGACCAAUAAAACAGCAAAUAAAUGGGAGUAAACCUAGAUCUCAAAUAGAAAACUCCCAACUUCCAUACUAUAUGGAACCCAUGUUUGGAAUAGAAAACUACUAUUAAGCUCACCUCUACUCUACGUAGCUUUUAAUGUUUCCCAGAAAUCGCUUCAAUCAUUCGCUAAUUUUUUUUUCUGGAGUUUACAGAAUGAAGAUGACGGGUGGUGUGUAUUUAAGGAGACACAUUGCCGUUUUUUACCGAUUAGGGUUAAACCUAAUUUCUAGUUUGAAAAACAUUUAUUUUCAUUGCUAUGUUAGUGAUUAGACAUACUAUAUUAUGUUACUACACCAUAGCUAACUAAAACUAACACGUUGCAAAUCUUAAGUAUCCUCACAAACCAGCGCGUCUAGGACACGUAACCCCAGAACCGUAAAAUCACAAUGGGCCUGUGUUACUUUCUUAAUUUCUGAGGUUAAUGAGCUAUAUUCUUCAUUCUCUUUUUUAAAAGGAAUAUUGAGCUAAUUCGCCCUUAUAUUUUUUUGUAUUAAUUUAUUUUUUAUAUCUUGGUUGGUUGAAUCAUCCUUAUGGAUUAAAAAUCUUAUACUCCGACGUCGAAACCACUAAACAAAGUUUUAAACCUACGUGAAUAAAAGUAUAUUUUAUUAUAUAAACUUUGGUUUUCAAAGUUAGACAUUAACAAGGGACCAAAUUUGUGUGUGCCCUUUAACCAAAGUUUUUAUACAAAUAUACCCUUCAAUGUUUUCAGGGUAAAUCAUAUGUGCCAGCCACUAUAAAUAUUUUUUAACCACCAUUUGACAAAGUCAAAUUGAGUUUACACUUAGUAGCCAUAAGAUCUUUUUUGGACCAAAAUAUCCAUAUAACAAACAAGAUUAACUUUGGUAAUUAGUUACAAUGUAACAAUAGAAAACUCAGAAUAAAAAGAUUAGACUAUUUGAGUUCAUUAUUAUUUUUCCCCAAUAUUUGUUUUUACAUUUUUUCUCCUUUUCAUUUGAUAAUUUUUUAUUAUUUUCGUACGUUUUAUUAAAAUUUAUUUGUUUGUAUCUUGUAAAAUUCAUUUUGGUAUAAACACCAGGAUCUCCUCGUAUAUUAAUACUCCGGGAUUAUGAAGUUAUUCGUAGUUCCAGAAUCCAACAACACGUGGGACGAUGAUACAAGAUUGGAAUCACUCCAACUUUAAAUCAUUUGAUGAUCAAGAGAUUCCAAGCUUAGCUCGCUGAAGGUGGAAUUCACGAGUUAGCUCUGAAGGACUCUCUCGUGAAUCAAGGGCUGAUACAAAGGAUAGUUCAGGUGAUUGACUCGCUUAAUAGGUGGGAUAAUCUCGAUCAAUGAACGAAUAAAGGAUGUUGAAUCCGCAGAUUCCACUAGGCUUAAGAGCCUAACUCACUUAAGACUAAUCAAUAACAAUGAGAAAGACUUGAACUUUGACAAGAAGAACUUUGCUAUUACUUAAAAAAUGAUCAAGGGUGUUUUUACAAUGAAAAAGCUAAUGAGCUUAUAUAGGCUCAGCUACACGUCCUAAUAAUUUAAAAUAAAAAACAAAUCGCAUAAAAUUAGAUACACUAGCCGUUGGGACUUUAUGAACCAAAUCGGCAUAAUAAGGCAAGUAUAGAGAUGCCUUGAGUCUUGAAAACUUGGGUGCGAAUCCAUGACUCACUUGGGUUGUCUAGGUUCAUAUUGUCAAGCUGCAACACGUGCAUAAGUGAAUAAGGAAGGAGUCUUUGCAGCUUGACCUCUUUUGGCUCAAUGUAUGGUAAGUAGCGAGUCAUUGAUUUCCUGUGUGGUAAGGUGUACCGAAGAUUGUAUGGGACAAGUCUUUUGUGGCCUAAAAAUUCUCCUGGUAUCCAUAUGCAGCUUUGGAACACUUUCACAUGAAGGUAAAGGAGAGUUUCCUUAUCUCUCUCCAAAUAGAUCAACGACCUUGAUUCAAAGGGUGAUUUGAGCUUGGGUCUUGUGGUUGUUCUCCAUGGGCUGGGGCCUUGUGGUGAAUCAAAUAAGUGUGUGGAAUCCCUUCAUGGCUGAUCCAAGUGUUAAAAGACUUAAAAUCCUCACAACUUACAAAUUGGUGUGGUUUAACAAAUUUGUCAGCGACUAGUUCAGCAUGGUUCUCAGCGAGUAUUUCCGCAUGUCUGUGAACAAGUAGUUCAAAAUAUACAUCAGCUAUCAUCUUCUAAUUAGAUGGAUGGUAAAUGAUUCUUUGAUGACUUGGUGUUACCUCAUUAAAACCUUUAUAGGUAAACCCUUUGAGAAAAACCAUAGACAAUGCAAAAAGAGUGCAACAGUCAUACCCCAAUAAUAAGGUAAGUUGACUUGCUGACUUUUGAUCCUUCUUGAACUAUUGGACUUCUUAAAGUUAAUAUGCUCGUGGACAAUUAAACCUUCAUCUUGUGCUUGUUCAGGGUUCCAUUUAGGAUAAGGUUCUUAAAAUUCUCCUUGUAGACCGAUUUGUUGUCAAGACCAAUUGGUUUGGUGUGUUUCUGGUUUGAUCUAGUUCUGAUGUUCGCAUCAUACCCUCUUCGUUGAAAAAGUUUCGAUUCGACCUUGAAAACGUUUCAACCUUGAAACUGUACAACCUGCACCAAGAGAAAGCAAGUUAGCUUUCAUGCGAUUUUGGGAGUUUAAUGUCUGACCUUGGUAUUGUUGUCUCUUCAUGAUGCAUAAUGCAUUUGGUGGCUCUCCUUUGAGCAAGAAAGAUAAGAUCACUCGUUGGUUUUCAUCUAGUACAACAUUUGAUGGUGUAACGUGUUUAGCUCCAUCUCGGGUAUGUGCUUGUGCUUUGAAAUCUGGUGGUUCCUCUUUCAUUAGGGUAUAAAUUGGGAGUCUCCUAGUCUCCAUUAGGGAUAGUGGUCAAAAUGGCGCUCGGUUUAUUCCAGUUUUAUUUUGAUUCAAGCGUUUCUUCAUCCUGGGUAAUUCGACUUUAUGAUCCUCAUUCGCACCUACAAUGUUGGUGACACUUUUGGAAAAAAAAAAGUGCAUUAAUACAGUCAUGGGACCAAUAUAAACAUGUAUAAAUAUGAUGGGCUGAACCAUUUCCUUUUCAUGAAGUGUAUCAAUAAGUAUGUCACAAAGUGAAUCAACUAAUCGAUAUGAUUUAAAACAAGAAAUUGGUUCCAUAGGUUUUUUUAAAGAACAUAAGUUUUUGUCACAUUAUGUAGAGCUUAAUAUGUUUAUAAACACAUCAUUCAAAUUAUUAGAAAUAAAUCGAAAGAAUGAGUUACUUGCUUGACAUGGUUCUUUGGUGAGUGUAUCAUUCAAAAUCAACAAGGUUGAUUGAUUUGAUGACUGGUCCGGUGGUUCUUCUUGCAGUAGAAUGUGUUGGUGCUAACUUCAUCAUCUUUAGUAGCAUGUAAACACAUCUUAAGCUAUUAAUCUGGGUGCAUGUUAUCACUCUUUGCUAGUUUCUCUGUUUUCUCUACAUUCAAUAUUCUUUGGGAUGUAGUCUCUCGCUCAUCACGAUAUUCUUCUAUCGUACUUGUAUCUUUCUCGCCACUUAAGACUAAAAUCAAGUGCAUUAUACUUACAAUAUAAUCAUUGAAAACAAAAUGUUUGAAGUUACGAUUAAUUAUUAAAUUAUUCCAAUAUCUAACAAAGUUGUAGGUUUCACUUACUAGGAUACCAUGUAAGGUGUUUGGCCUUAACUCAACCUUAAUGAAAGUGAUAUUAGAAGCAAGAUCGGAUGAUGUUGAACAUAGUUGUGCCUUCACACGUGCUUUAAAGGUUGCAUGCUCACACGUCUUGUUUCGGUAAAGUUGUGAUGAUGUUAUUUCCGAAAGUUGCUCCUCAAGACUUAUGUCAUUUUCAACUUCCUUUGGAGUUGCUACAUGGUGGAUUAAUACUUCAGCAUUUUCAUCCAUCAUAUGACUUAUACCUGCAUCGGUAACCUUUGGUUAAAACAAGCACAUUAAUCUAGAAUUGGAAAUCUCUAAACUUGAUCCCAUUAGACAAUCAUUUGAGUUAGAUGCAUUAAAUUUCAACUCUAUUAAUGUGUUAUCAUCUACUUUUCUUUCACGACAGGUUGCAGCAAAGUGACCUCUCUUAUGGCAUCUAUAACAUGUCUGUGCAUUUGAUUUUAAGGAGUUAAAAGGCUUACCUUGCUCGUGUUUAUCUUGCGGCUUAAGUAAAGGUAUGGGGUUUGAUUCUUCUUUUUCACUUGUUCCUUUCUCAUUCUCCUUGGAUUAAAACAAUACCUUUGCAUGUGAUAUAUCCACGUUUUGAUUGGAACUAACACGUUGAAGUGUUGUGUUCUCUUGACUCGUUUUCUUUGAGGGAUAAGUAUUUUGACAGGGCUGGGAUAGCAUAUGAGGUGCAUAUAUCUCCCUCAUAAGCAACUUUAUUUGCCCCCAUGUUAUAAGUGAUGGCUCCUUGUACCAUACUCUAUCUCUUUCCUCUCGGUUCCACUAACGUUUUGCGCUUCCCAUGAGUUGUUCAAGACAGUAGUUGAGCCUCUCUUCUUUGGGAAUCUAAUAGUACCUAAAGUAUUUGUCCAUGUUGAUUUCCCAUUAUAGAUAAUCUCUUUCAUGUCCUCCAAAUUCAAAACAUCCAGGUCCAAAAUACUCAUAACCAUUGUCUAGAGAUAACCUGAAUUUUUUCUUCUGGGUUCGGGUGGGGUUGGAUAGAAACGAGUCUCUUCUAGCACCAUGUUUUAGUUCGCCUCCUCUUAGUUUACUGGUCCUUGUGAUGCGGACAUCAGAACUAGAUCAGACCAAGAGCAUACCAAACCGGUCUACAUGGAUUAUUUUGGAGAUUCUUUGUCUAAGUGGAGUUCUGAUCAAGUACAAUGUGAAGGGUUAAUUAUUCACCAUGAUAUUAAACCUAAGAAGUCUGACAGUUCAAGAGGGAUAAAAAAUCAGCAAGUCAAAUCACCUUAUUAUCGGGAUAUGACUGUUGCACUCUUUUUCCCUUAUCUAGGGUUUGUCCCAAUGGGUUUACCUAGAAAGGUUUUUAAUGAGGCAACACCAAGUCAUCAAGGAAUCAUUCACCAUCCAUAUGAUUCAAAGAUGAUAGCUGAUGUAUAUUCUGAUAUACUCGCGGACAAGCAUGCUGAACUACUCGCUGACCGACUGCCUGAACUACUCGCUGACCGACUACAUGAACUACAUCAGAUUGUGAGCUGUGAGGAUUUGAAGUCUUUUAACACUUGGAUCAGCUAUGAAGGGAGUCCACAUACUCAUUUGAAUCACUACAAGGCCCCAGCCUAUGUAGAACAGCCCAAGAGAAGACCCAAGUCCAAACCACCAUUUGAAUCAAGGCCAUUGAUCUACUUGGAGCAUGAUAAGAAAACUCUCAUAACCUUCAUGAGGACAUGUUCCAAAGCUGCAUAUGGAAACUAGGAGAACUUUUAGGCCACACAAGACUUGUCCCACACGAUCUUUGGUACACCUUACCACACAAGAAGCCAAUGAGUCACAACUUGCCAUAUAUGGAGCAAGAGGAGAUCAAGCUUCAAAGACUCCUUCAUUAUUCACUUAUGCAUGUCUUGAAGCUUCUUACAAUGAACCUAGAUACUCCAAAGAGUCAUGGAUUCGCACCUAAGCUUUCAAGACUCAAGGCAUCUCUCUACUUGCCUUAUUUUGUCGAUUUGGUGCAUAAAGUCCCAACGGCAAGUGUAUUUAAUUUUGUGAUAUUUGUUUCUUGUUUUACAUUAUUAGCACGUGUAGCUGAGCCUAUAUAAGCUCAUUAGUUUUUUCAUUUGUAAUCACCCUUGAUCAAUUUAAAGUAAUAGAAAGUUUUCUUCUUGUCAAAGUUUGAGUCUUUGUCAAUCUUGUUCUUUAGUUCUAUGUGAGUGAGUCACUUAGUGCUUUAGAAACCUGCGUAUUAAGUUUUUUGAGUGAUUCAACAUCCUUUAUUCUUCCAUUGAUCGAGUGAGUCGAUUAUCCCACCGAUUGAGCGAGUCAAUCACCUAAACUAUCCCCUGAACCACCCACUGAUUCACGAGAAAGUGCUUCUGGCCAACUCGUGAAUUCCACCUUCCGCAAGCUAAGCUUGGAGUCUCUUGAUCAUCAAGUGACAUAAAGUUUUGAGGAGAUCAUGUCUACCACUCGGAUGUGGUUCAAGUCGCAUUGAUGAUCCUUAAAUCACUUCUUUAUACUACAUGUGGGUUUGUGCAGAAGUACGUAUCUCUUGAUUUUUCUUGACAUGAGGCUGUACGCACUCGAUGUAACAAGAUGUGAUGGUCGGUCUUCUCUUCACGCCUUGGACAGUGUCGAUAAUGGUAGUGUUUCAAUGUUUUUGUUCUAUACUCCAUGUCUUUGCCCCACUUAAAGUAAUCAUCUUUUCCUGAAAAAUAUAUAAUUUGGGUCAAUAAAGAUUUCAAACCAUAGCUGCAAAAAUCAUCAUUAAGUUUAAUCCAUGGUUAAGAAUAGCCUUUAUUGGUGUUGUAUGAGUUAGACGGUUAUGGUUUUGGUGCUUCAUGUCCUGGUUCUGGUGCUUUAUGGCAUGGUUUAUCUCUUUAAUUAGAACCUGAACUAUCAUCUUGUUGCGACGAGACCGUUCCAUAGUUGUCUUGCUCAUCGGACAUGACUUGAUAGGGAUCUUCUCCUUGAAUUUCUUCAUCUAAAUAACACUCAAUAGACUCCAUAAUUUCUCAUGUCUUCGUGAUAGAAAAAUCUUGCACAAGCAAAAUAAAGAUGUAUCAAAAGUAAAUCAACAAAUAAGUAAUAUACUUAAGUAAAAAAAAAAUGGAAGUUCUUUUUUUUUUUUUAAAUAAAUCCAAAAAUUCAAAUAGCAAAAGGAAAAAUUCAGUUUUUAAUUUAUUUUCUCGCUUUAUAUAAAGAAAAAUCGAAAAUUUAUUUAGAAGAACAAAAAUAUGUUUUCUUAUGGCUUUUUCUUUUAAUAAAUCCAAAAUAAAUAAGAAAAUGAAAUAGAUCAAACUUUUUUUUUUAUUAUAAAAUAAUGAAGCAAAUAACAAAAAAAAAGCAAGAAAUGUUGUAAACUAAAGAGAAGAGAGGUGAAUUCGUGAUACCUUUACUCAUUAGCAUAGAGUCCUUAAUAUAAGGACUAGAAGAAAAUCCGGGCUACGCCCGAUACGUAUUUGAUCAUUUAGUUUUAGCUUUUUAUAUGUUUUUUUUUAAAUGAUAGAUGAAUAUUGGCGAAUGAAGAUACACUUUCAAUCGUUGGAAGUAGAAGGACACGAAGUGGAGAAACCUCCACUAUGAUAGAUUUGCUAGAACUCUAAGAAUGUACAUAGAAGGUUUUGGCUUUACCGAAUGUGUUUGCAGGCGAGAAAGUCAUUACUCGGUAAAAAUAUAGAGUCUACUGUAGUAAUUGCGCUUGCGUCUUCAUUAAAAAUGGCAUCUUUUACCUCUAGCACGAGCACUCCACCAGCAUCAUCAUAGUCAAGUAAAAUAUUGCUUUAACAGAAAGUAAUAUUAUGAUUCUCAUUAAGAUCAAAAUUGUACAAUUUUUUCAAAUCACUUGGAAUUCCACUUUGAAUACGCCCCCUAAAUAACUUUAGAAUCUUUUAACACUGAAUAUGGUAAUAAACGCAAACAGUUUGAUAACUUGGUAUAAAACAAAUAAAAAAAAAAAUAGAUGAACAAAGAGACUGGUUUUCGAAUAUUCAUUUUUUGAUAACAUAUAGAACAUAAAGAGAAGUCCUUACCACCAGUCGUUCGUUGCCUAUAGUGUGGUAAAGCCAAAUUUCACAGCUAAGUCUGGAAAGGAAAAAUAUUUAUGAAACAGUUAAGAGUGCAUAAAAUUUUCAAUCUUUGAAUCCCGCAGAUUAACUUAUGGGUGAUUUGAUUGCAGACUUUGUAGUGACGACGAUGGUGAACGUAGCAGAGAGGUAGAAAUAUUUGGAGAUGAACGUAGUUAAGAGAACUUGAGGAAGUGAAAGGAAGUUGAGUAGGUUCAUCUUUCACUGUAAGAGGAGUUGCAACUCAAUAGUAGAAAAAAAAUCAUAUAUACAUUAAAGAAAAACUCAAUCUUUCUAAGAAGUGAAAACCCUUAACCUUGUAUUAUCAACAACCAAUCAGACUCAAUUGACAGAGCUGUGUGAUGGGAAGGUAGUGGUAACUACAUUUGUAGUAGCAGAAUUGCAGAUCUCGAUUUCAGAAGAAAUUGUAGCAGAGUAUCAAAAGGAGAGCUUAAGAGGAAAAAUCUAAGGUGUGAAUCAUGGGAUCUAAUUCUCAAGGGUAGAUGGAGAGAGAACUGUAGAGGAAGAUAGAGACGUAUAUAACUUUAAAAGAGAGAUUUUUUAUGGAAGAAAGAGUUAAUCAUGGUGUUGGUGUAACUGAUGAACAUGGCGAGUCUCUCCGUUGACUAAGAAGUGUGAAUAUUAAAACGUCAUUUUUGGAAGAAAUGGGACUAAACUUUUUCUUAUGCCAUGUGGCAUCCUCUAAAAUGAUUUAGGAAAGCGGAUGUGGCUUGCUUUAGGAGCCUCAAAUAACCCCUUUAUUAGUAAGUAAUUGAUACAAGGGAGGAAAGUAAAACCUAAAACAAAUAGGAAAAGAUUAAACCUGCUCAAUAUUGGACGGACCGGGCUUGAAUAUGGGCCGAGCCGGACUGGGCUUGUUAUGAAAAUCCACCAUAUGAUUUAUAACACUCCCCUUUGGAUGUAAUAACCGUUAGAGCUUCUAAUAUGCUUUGGAUGUUGCCUCAUUAAAACCUUACCAGGAAAACCCGAUGGGAUAAAACCGUGGUGAAGGAAAAAGAGUACAACACGUCUUACUCCCCCUGAUUUGAAUCUCACUUAAGAUCUUUCAACCGGCGCAUUCCAAUUUGACGUGUAAUUUUCUUGAAAGUAAAGGUUGGAAGCGACUUGGUGAAUAGAUCUGCCACAUUGUCACAUUAUUUGAUGCGGACAUCAGAACUAGAUCAAACCGGGAGCACACCAAACCGGUUUACAUGGAGAAUUUUGGAGAAUCUUUGCCUAAAUGGAGUUCUGAUCAAGUACAAGACGAAGGGUUAAUUAUUCACCAUGAUAUUAACCCUAAGAAGUCGGACAGUUCAAGAGGGAUCAAAAAUCAGCAAGUCAAAUCACCUUAUUAUUGGGAUAUGACUGUUGCACUCUUUUUCCCUUAUCUAGGGUUUGUCCCAAUGGGUUUACCUACAAAGGUUUUUAAUGAGGCAACAUCAAGUCAUCAAGGAAUCAUUCACCAUCCAUAUGAUUCAAAGAUGAUAGCUGAUGUACAUUCUGAUCUACUCGCGGACAAGCAUGCUGAACUACUCGCUGGCAAGCAUGCUGAAUUACUCGCUAACCGACUGCCUGAACUACUCGCUAACCGACUGCCUGAACUACAUCAGAUUGCGAGCUGUGAGGAUUUGAAGUCUUUUAACACUUGGAUCAGCCAUGAAGGUAGCCCACACAGUCAUUUGAUUCACUGCAAGGCCCUAGCCCAUGGAGAACAUCCCAAGAGAAGACCCAAGUCCAAACAAUUCUUUGAAUCAAGGUCGUUGAUCUACUUAGAGCGAUAUAAGGAAACUCUCCUUUACUUUCAUGAAGACGUGUUCCAAAGCUGAAUAUGGAAACUAAGAGAACUUGUAGGCCACACAAGACUUGUCCCACACGAUCUUUGGUACACCUUACCACACAAGAAGUCGAUGAGUCACUACUUGCCAUACAUGGGGCAAAAGGAGAUCAAGCUCCAAAGACUCCUUCCUUAUUCACUUAUGCACGUCUUGAAGCUUCCUACAAUGAACCUAGACACCCCAAGGAGUCAUGGAUUCACACCCAAGCUUUCAAGACUCAAGGCAUAUCUCUACUUGCCUUAUUUUGCCGAUUUGGUUCAUAACGUCCCAACGGCAAGUGUAAUUAAUUUUGAGCGAUUUGUUUCUUGUUUUACAUUAUUAGGACGUGUAGCUGAGCCUAUAUAAGCUCAUUAGAUUGUUCAUUUGUAAUUACCCUUGAUCAAUUUAAAGUAAAAGAAAGUUUUAUUCUUGUCAAAGUUUGAGUCUUUGUCAUUGUUCUUCAUUAAUCUUAAGUGAGCGAGUCUCUUAAGUCUAUUGGAACCUGCGGAUUAAGUUUGUUGAGUGAUUCAACAUCCUUUAUUUGUCCAUUGAUCGAGUGAGUCGAUUAUCCCACCGAUUGAGCGUAUCAAUCACCGGAACUAUCCCCUGAACCACCCGCUGAUUCACGAGAGAGUGCUUCUGGCCAGCUCGUGAAUUCCACCUUGCGCAAGCUAAGUUUGGAAUCACUUGGUCAUCAAGUGAUCUAAAGUUUGGAGUGAUUCCAAUCUUGCAUCAUGAUUGAACUUGUUCCACUUGGAACUCUUCGGCUUUAAGUUGCGUUGUCUUCAAAUAUGAUGGUCUUUGAUUUAGUAGUAGAUGCGCCUUAAAGAAGGCUGCCUACGUACCCUUGGAAGGGAUCAAACCACAAGUAGUUCCUAUUCAUUGACCAUGCCAUGAUCUGAUCUUAUGAAUAACCUGCAUCAGUCAAUCAAACUAAACCAAAGCAAACUGGACCUACUUUGGUUAGAUCAGUAUAGAGUAAAACCCAAGUAAACAACGCAGGAAGAAUAGACUUUAUAACUUUACCAAACCUUCUUUUAAACCUUUCCAGUGCCUUUGGGUUGAUCAUGAACUAGAUUUAGACAGGAGACUCACGGUAAAACAAAUGUUUGGUCUAGUGUGUCUAGCCAAAUUCUUUAGAACUCCUAUGGCAUUGAGAUAUGGCAUUUACGGACUGAAUGGAUCACUAUCCAAUAUGAGGCUUCUCACCCACCAUUGGGCCUGGUCAAUGGGCGGGCCCGGUUCUUAUUAAAUCUCCAUGAGUAUUCUUUCAGUAUAUGCCAUUUGAUGCAAAAGGAUUCCAUUAUUCACGUACUCAAGUAGUAAUCCGUAACAGAACUUAAUUAUUGCCUAGGUCUUUCAUUUCAUAAUCUUUGUUUAGAUAUAUUCAACUGUUUGGUCGAUUACCUAGAGGUUUAAAUCAUUCAUAUACACUGCUAUGAUUACAAAUCUUUUGUUUGCAAACCUGUUUAUGAAUGUACAUGGACUGAUGUGAUUAUUUAUAACCUUACAUACGCCCACUUAGUCUAAGUCCAUGAAAGGAUUUGUCCAGCCUUAUGCACUGCUGUUAUCGAGAACCUUUCUUAUCUUUGAGCUCAAUACCCUCUGGUAAUUUCAUAUAUUAUCCAGUGGACUUAUAUAAAUAUGCAGGCAUUACAUCCAUUAGCCGCAAAUCGAUUUUUUCUCUUUUAUAUAGCCAGACUUAGCAAAAAUUUAAAUGUCUUAGCAUCCACCACAGGGGAGUAUAUCUCCUCAUAAGCCGUGCUUUAUAUCUCUAAAUUUUUCCAUGUUCAUUUUUUUCACAAAGACCUAUUUAUGUCCAACUGGUUUAAUAUCAAGAGGUGUCCGGAUUAUUGGACUAAAUACAUUCCUCUUCUUUAAUGAAUUCAACUCCACAUUUAUAGCUUCUUUCCAUUUAAUCCAAUCUGAUCGUCGAGUGCACUCUAAUAUGGACGUGGGUUUUAGAUCCUCGCUUAUUUCAUUAAUUUUUAGUGCUACCUUGCAUGCAAUAUAUUAUCAAUGUCGACAUUCUUUCGGUUCCAUUUUAUCCUGGACAUAACAUAAUUGAUCGUGAUCUCAUUAUUAUCAAGAACUUCAUCAGUACCUUGAAACUUGGCGUCCCAAGCCUCAUUGUUAGGUAUCUGAGGUUCGGUUAUGCCUCGGGUAACCACAGUUUUCUCAACCUCGGAUUCAUUCUUAGCACCUCUUUAUUUUUCGAGGGUUCUUAUCUUUGGAACCUAUUGGUCUACCACGUUUCAUACGUGCCUUAGACUCUGUAGCAACUUGAUUGUGUCCUUCCUAAACAUCAAUAUGUAUUGGUGCAUUUAUAAAUAGUAUAUGUGACUUAAUCACUCUAUUCGGGUCAGCAAAGAAAUCUGGCAAUUGAUUAGCUAGCUUUUGUAUUAGCUUUUGGACUUCUAAUUCAAAUUUCAUAGUCCAUAAUAAGGAUGAUUGAUUCUAUGUAAUUUCCUUUACCAGCUUAUUAUUAUCUCCCCUUAAUGGUGGGUUAUUGGUUUCAUCAAAAUGACAAUACUCGUACUUGGCCUUGAAUAAAUCAACCGUGGUCGGCUCAAGCUACUUAUUUAUUAUGGAAUAUUCAUAUCCAAUAUAUAUCCCCAUCCUCUUUUGAGUAUCCAUCUUAGUUCUUUGUGGUGGAGCUCAAUUGGUAUAUAUACGGCACAUCCAAAUGUCUUAAAAUGGAAAAUGUCUGGGUCAUGACCCUUAAGUAAUUGUUUUGGGGAAUAUUUAUUUUCAUUAGAUGACCUGAUGCGAAUAAAUUCAGCUGCAUGUAAGACAACAUGUCCCCAAGCUGAGAUUGGGAGUUUUGAUCUCAGAAACAAUGGUCUAGCAAUUAGCUGUAUGCGUUUUAUAAAUGAUUCAGGCAGACCGUUUUGUGUAUGUACAUGUGCCACAAAAUGUUCUACACUUACCCCCAUGGACAUACAAUAAGCAUUAGAAACUUAGGACGUAAGUUCACCAACAUUAUCUAGACGUAUAGUCUUUAAUCACUUUGACUGGUGAUGGCCUUUUCAUGAGUUUCCCUUGUGAACAUGCUACACAAGUGAGAUUCUUUGGGAUAACUCUACUUUCUUUCAAUGUGUGUCCAUUUGUAUUUAAUAUCAAUUUUCGCAUUACACUCGAUCCGGGAUGGCCAAGCCGAUCGUGCCAAAGAGUGAAUCUCUCGGUAAUCUCUUUGUUUCCCGUGGCAUUAGCUUCUAUCAUAUUAGCCUUAGCACAGUAAAUGCCUUUAAUACUUUCUUAUGACCUUUUAUAUUUUCUUAUGACUUUUAAUACUUUCUCAUGGCCUUUAAUACUUUCUUAUGACCAUUUAUACUUUUUUAUGAUCUUGGCCGUUUUCAAAUAUUAUUAGGAACUCUUUAUUUCUUUCGCCCUUAGUUUCAAAAAUAAUAAUCAUAUAUUCAAUAUUUAAAUAAAAGAUCCUCUAAUUUAUUAAGUUCAAAACAAUAUCAAAAAAAUUCAAAGCAAUAAUAGAGAAUAAAUUCAAAGCAAUAAAACUUUAAAAGCAAUCAUGAAGGCAAUCAUAAAAACAAUCAUGAGAAUCUUGAUGUCGAAAUUAUAUUGGUUAUUCUAAGCAAUCGGGAGUCUCAUAUGCCAUAAGAUCAUUUUUGUCAUGAUCAAAAUCAUCUUUAUUAUCAUAGUGGAUGAUAAGUCUGUAUUUCAUUGCUUUUUGAGUAUGCAUUCAUCAUCUAUUCAGCAUCAUUCACUUGUUGAUUCGCAUCAUAUUGAUCCCUUUCUGCAUGUUUUACAUACUUAGGUAGGUUUUAUGCAUAUCAUGCAUAUCAUGCAUAUCUUGCAUACAUUGUCCAUAUUUGGAGUGUUUCAGGUACUUAGGAGACAUGCAGGGCGAAGCAGAGGAACAAGCGUUACUCGACAUGCACACGAUCGAGUGGGACGAUCGAGUGAGAAGCAUGGAUGCGUUGCAGUUACAUUGACGUUCGAGUGAGCAGCAGACGUAUACGAUCGAGUGGCAGAUCGAGCAGAAGGGAAGCGAAGCAGAACUACCUGUCACUCGAUGCACUCACUCGAGUGACAUGAUCGAGCAAAGCAAAGAAGUAGCUGAUGGUUUUACAGGUCACUCGACCCACUCACUCGAGUGACACGAUCGAGAAAGCAGAGAAGAUGGUCACUCGAGGUGCUCACUCGACCAACUUAGUCAAAACAACCUUUGAACCGCUUUUACGUUGUCGUUUUAUGUUUUAAGGUUUUCCCAAACAUUGUUAUAAAUAGGCUUCAUUUGGAUUGCCCAAGGGAUAUCGAGUUUUUUAUUAGGUUUUUGUUGUUAGCCACCAAACAAUCCAGAAAAUUGUAAUUCAUAUUUCUUUUGAGUUAUUGAGAUUUUGCAACUAGUUCUGAAAUCAUUGUUGUUACUCUUCCUAUCAUCCUUAUUAUUAUGCAUGUUUUGAACGAUUCUUGUUUCAUGAUGUUUAACAUGAUUUCUGCGUCUGAGUAGUGUUAGGGUUCUUGAGGAUGGGAUAGAUUAGGUGGAGGAUGUUAGUUUGCUAGAGUGUUUAUGUUAGAUUCGUUUGUUUCCCUUCUGGACUAGAGUUUUAUUAGCUAGUUCUUCUCUGAUCAAUUGGAACUGGGUCAUGGACAUUUCAUACCCGAAAGGUAUAUGAUGAAAUGUCUGAACCAACUAGUGCCAGAGAUUUACAUGCUUAGCCCAAGAGAUUGGUUGUCUAAGAUGUUUAUUGACAUUAAUGAGCUGUUUCUUUAUGCCUGUUUACUGCAUGUUUCAUCAAUGAGAAUUGAGAUUAGGAAGUGUUGUAAACUUGAUAGUUUCUGCCAAGAGAUUGGAUUGACUAGUAUUAGAAGUUCAUUGUCUAGGGAUUAGAAUGUUUGCAGUUUGAUAAACACUCGAAGUAGAUUAGCAUACUCCACCUACAUCAAUAACCUCAUCCUCGGGAUCUUCUAUCCAUUUGUGCUUUCUGUUUAAUUCUCUUGUUAUUUACUUAGUCUGCUUUGUUUUCUUGCCAGUAUCAAUAAUCGUUACGUUUUAGUUUAUGCAUGGUAGUCUAUGUUUUACAGCUUUACAUUUAUCGCAUGUUUAACAUGUUCGUUUAGGAUCAUUGAAAACCAAAAAUCAUUUAUGCUUUCUUGACUUAAUCAUUUCUGAUAUAUCUUGAUUGCUAGCAUCACACCUGAUUGGAUUGAUACCUAUUGUACUGCAAUGACAUGAUAGUACUCUAGGGUAAUUGAUAGAAAAAUCCUAGUAUCAAUUUGGCGCCGCUGCCAUUUGGGUGUUUGUGUGUUACAUUUGAGAUUUCAGACUUGCUAAGAUCAAGUUUUUACUCAACAUUCACUACAGUUACUCACUCUGUUCCUUCUGUUUGUCUAUUGAUUCAGGUACAACUCUUGCUCAACUGCUCCUACUCGACUGACACACUCAACCGAUAAGAAAGAUAAGCUGAUUUGAGUUGUAUGCACACACGGUCGCAAGGCACAGAGAACUUGUUCCAGCCCUCCGACCGUAUUGAUCGCUUGGUACCUGCAUCACGACAGCAACGCAACAGAGUUACACCACCCCAAGUGGAGAUGGAAAACAUUCCACCACCACAACCACCACGGGCACCUACACGGAUUGGAGCUGGUGAUGCUCCACGCAACCAUACCCAUCGUCAGGGUAUAGUGCCUCCAGCCGUGGCGAACAACAACUUUGAGAUCAAGAGUGGUCUGAUCUCCAUGGUCCAGCAGAAUAAAUUUCAUGGUCUGCCUAUGGAAGACCCCCUGGAUCACCUUGAUGAGUUUGAUCGUCUCUGCAGUCUCACCAAGAUCAAUGGGGUCAGUGAGGACGGUUUCAAGCUACGUCUCUUUCCAUUCUCUUUGGGUGACAAAGCUCAUCAAUGGGAGAAAACUCUUCCUCCAGGAUCUAUCACUUCCUGGGAUCAAUGCAAGCAGUCGUUUCUUGCCAAGUUUUUCUCCAACUCUAGAACUGCACGUCUGCGCAAUGAGAUCUCUGGGUUCACUCAGAAGAAUGGUGAAACGCUUUGUGAAGCCUGGGAACGCUUCAAAAGUUAUCAGUCUCAGUGUCCCCACCAUGGUUUCACCAAGGAGUCUCUCCUCAGUACUCUUUACCGGGGUGUUCUCCCAAAGAUCCGGAUGUUGCUUGACACUGCCAGCAAUGGCAACUUUCUGAACAAGGACGUUGACGAAGGUUGGGAGCUUGUUGAAAACCUAUCCCAAUCUGAUGGCAACUACAAUGACGAUUAUGAUAGAACCAUCAGGGCAAGCACAGAUCUUGAUGAGAAGUACAAGAAGGAGAUGAAGGUUGUGAAUGACAAGUUGGACAAGCUAUUGAUGAGCCAGCAGAGGAACAUCCAUUACGUCUCUGAAGACGACCCUUUCCAGACUCUGAAUGGGGAGGGAGAACAAUCUGAGGAGAUAAGCUAUGUCCAGAACCAAGGUGGAUACAAUAAGGGAUACAAUCCUUAUAAGCAGAAUCCAAAUCUGUCCUAUCGGAGCACCAAUGUUGCAAACCCCCAGGAUCAGGUUUAUCCACCUCCACAACAGCAGCAGCAGGGGCAGAACAAACCAUUUGUGCCCUACAACCAAGGUUAUGUGCCCAAACAACAAUUUCAGCAAGGUUACCAACCUCCAGCAGGACCACCACCAGGAUUCCAACCUCAACAUGCUCCGCCUCCUCAGGCACCAGAUCAAGACAUGAAAAACAUGCUUCAGCAACUCCUACAGGGACAAGCAAGUGGCUCCAUGGACAAUGCUAAGAAGUUUGCUGAGCUGACUCAGAGAUUGGACUGCUCAUACAAUGAUCUGAACAUGAAGAUUGAGACUCUGAAUUCCAAGAUCAAGUAUAUGGAGGGUAAAACUGCUUCUACUUCUGCCCCAAAGCCGGGUCAACUCCCAGGAAAAGCUGUUCAGAAUCCUAAGGAGUUUGCUCAUGCCAUCACGCUGAGGAGCGGUAAAAACUUGCCUCCCAGACAAGGACCUGUUGUAGUCACUGAGGACAGUGAAGACUUGGAAGGGGAGGAUGUAUGUCAGAAUGAAGAUCCGGUUGUUCCUUUGGAAGAAUCAGGAGUCGUACCUGAAGAAGUUCCUCAACCUGCUGAGAAACAUGCUGAAACACCUGCAGCAUCCAAGGAUAAGCCUGCGCGAUACGUUCCCCCACCAUACAAACCACCUCUACCAUUUCCAGGACGAUUCAAAAAGCAGCAAGCUGAGAAGUAUAAGGCUUUAUUUGAAAAGCAAUUGAGAGAGAUUGAGUUGAGAAUGCCAUUGCUGGAUGCAUUCGCACUUGUCCCUCCUUAUCAGAAGUUCCUCAAAGAUUUGGUUAUGGAGAGAACAAAAGAAGUCCAGGGAAUGGUGAUAUUGAGUCAUGAAUGCAGUGCCAUUAUCCAGAAGAAGAUCACUCCCUUGAAGCUUAAAGAUCCUGGAUCUUUCACACUACCCUGCUCACUAGGCCCCCUAUCUUUCAGCAGAUGCUUAUGUGAUCUUGGAGCUNNNNNNNNNNNNNNNNNNNNNNNNNNNNNNNNNNNNNNNNNNNNNNNNNNNNNNNNNNNNNNNNNNNNNNNNNNNNNNNNNNNNNNNNNNNNNNNNNNNNNNNNNNNNNNNNNNNNNNNNNNNNNNNNNNNNNNNNNNNNNNNNNNNNNNNNNNNNNNNNNNNNNNNNNNNNNNNNNNNNNNNNNNNNNNNNNNNNNNNNNNNNNNNNNNNNNNNNNNAUUCCUAGCCACUGCUGGAGCUAUCAUUGAUGUUAAGAAGGGGAAGAUAGACUUAUGCUUGGGAGAAGACUUCAAGAUGACAUUUGACAUCAAGGAGUCUAUGAAGAAACCAACAAUCAAUGGCAAGGUGUUCUGGAUAGAGGAGAUGGAUCAGCUAGCUGAUGAACUUUUAGAAGAACUUGCUGAGGAGGAUCAUCUCAAGACAGCCUUGACAAAGAGUGGAUCAGAUGGAUUUCUUCAUGCUGAGACCAAGGUCUACGAAACGUUACUGGAUACCUACAAGGCAACUGAUGAUUCAGAACGUUUUGAGGAAUUGGAUAAGUCUGUCAAGGAGGUAUGCACAGUAGAGGAGGAAGUCAGUGGCAGCCCGAUGACUCACCAUGCUGUUGAUCCUGUCAAUGCGGUUGAUGAUGACUGGUCAGAGUUAAAAGCUCCCAAGGUUGAGCUCAAACCGCUACCCUCAGGACUGAGGUAUGUAUUCCUUGGAUCCAACUCUACUUAUCCUGUCAUUGUGAAUGCUAGCUUGAGUAAUGAGGAAUUAGAGUUGCUAGUCACUGAGCUUAGAAAAUAUAGAAGGGCCAUAGGUUAUUCCUUAGAUGAUAUCAAGGGGAUCUCACCUAGUCUCUGCAUGCAUAGGAUUAAUCUGGAAAAUGAAUCAUACUCUAGUAUUGAACCUCAAAGGAGAUUGAAUCCUAACCUUAAGGAAGUUGUGAAAAAAGAAAUUCUUAAACUGUUGAAUGCUGGGGUUAUCUAUCCUAUCUCUGAUAGUACUUGGGUAUCCCCAGUGCAUUGCGUACCUAAGAAAGGAGGGAUUACAGUGAUAAAAAAUGAAAAAGAUGAAUUGAUCCCCACUAGGACUAUCACUGGCCAUAGGAUGUGCAUUGAUUACAGAAAACUGAAUGCUGCAUCUAGGAAAGAUCAUUUCCCGCUUCCUUUCAUUGAUCAAAUGUUAGAACGAUUAGCCAAUCAUCCCUACUACUGUUUCCUUGAUGGGUAUAGCGGAUUUUUCCAAAUCCCUAUCCACCCAAAUGAUCAGGAAAAGACUACGUUCACUUGUCCAUAUGGCACAUUUGCCUACAGACGCAUGCCUUUUGGUUUGUGUAAUGCACCUGCAACAUUUCAGAGGUGUAUGACCUCUAUAUUCUCGGAUUUGAUAGAGGAGAUGGUGGAGGUGUUCAUGGAUGAUUUUUCCGUGUAUGGCUCCUCCUUCUCCUCAUGUUUGUUAAAUCUCUGCAGGGUAUUAGCAAGAUGUGAGGAGACAAGCCUGGUGCUCAACUGGGAGAAGUGUCACUUCAUGGUGAACGAAGGGAUAGUGUUGGGACACAAGGUAUCAGAGAAAGGGAUUGAGGUUGAUAAGGCAAAGAUUGAGGUCAUGGUGCAGUUGCAGCCUCCCAAGUCAGUNNNNNNNNNNNNNNNNNNNNNNNNNNNNNNNNNNNNNNNNNNNNNNNNNNNNNNNNNNNNNNNNNNNNNNNNNNNNNNNNNNNNNNNNNNNNNNNNNNNNAAGAUUCAUCAAGGACUUCUCAAAAAUUGCAAGACCCCUUACAAGACUGCUGUGCAAGGAGGUCGAGUUUGUUGUUGAUGAGAGCUGUCUGGAAGCUUUCAACAAGAUCAAGGAAGCGUUAGUCUCAGCACCAAUAGUCCAAGCUCCAGACUGGGAUCAUCCUUUUGAGAUAAUGUGUGAUGCCUCAGAUUAUGCAGUAGGGGCUGUGUUGGGACAGCGAAUAGAGAAGAAACUGCAUGUCAUCUACUAUGCGAGCAGAACCCUUGAUGAGACACAAGGGAGAUAUGCAACAACAGAGAAAGAGCUCUUGGCUGUAGUCUUUGCGUUUGAGAAAUUCAGAAGUUACUUGGUGGGAUCAAAAGUGGUAGUCUACACAGACCAUGCUGCGCUUAGACAUAUAUACUCCAAGAAGGAUACCAAACCAAGACUGCUGAGAUGGAUACUUCUACUCCAGGAGUUUGAUAUGGAGAUUGUUGACAAGAAGGGGAUAGAGAACGGCGUUGCUGAUCACCUGUCCAGAAUGAGAAUAGAAGAUCCAAUCCCUAUUGAUGACUCUAUGCCUGAAGAACAUCUCAUGGUUGUUGAGAUAUGCAAGAAGAUGCAUCAAACAGGAAUGGCUAUGAAGGAGCUUCAAUGUCUAGCAGUCAAUUCAGAGAGUAUGCCUUGGUAUGCGGAUGUGGUUAACUACAAAGUCUGUGGAGAGAUUCCUGCAGACAUGGAUCCUUAUAGGAAAAAGAAGUUUUUCAGAGAUGUCAACCACUACUUCUGGGAUGAACCUUACCUGUACAAGAGGGGUUCAGAUGGACUGUUUAGGAGAUGCAUAGCAGAAGGAGAAGUACAGGGAGUACUUGAGCACUGUCAUGGAUCCACAUAUGGAGGACACUUCGCUACAUUCAAGACAGUUCAGAAGGUUCUGCAAGCAGGCCUUUGGUGGCCAACGUUGUUCAAGGAUACAAACAGUUUCAUCACCAAGUGUGACGCCUGCCAGAGGAUGGGUAACAUCAACAGAAGGAAUGAGAUGCCUCAGAACCCGAUUUUGGAAGUAGAAAUUUUUGAUGUUUGGGGAAUUGAUUUCAUGAGACCGUUCAACCCUCCAUCAAACGGCAAUGCCUACAUUCUGGUCGCAGUUGAUUAUGUUUCAAAAUGGGUUGAAGCCAUUGCAAGUCCCACCAACGAUCAUAAGGUUGUUCUGAAACUGUUCAAGAGCAUCAUCUUUCCCAGGUAUGGAGUACCGAGAGCAGUGAUCAGUGAUGGUGGUACACACUUCAUCAACAAGGUUUUUGAAAGCAUGUUGAAGAAGUAUGGUGUGAAGCAUAAGGUGUCUACAGCCUACCAUCUCCAGACAUGUGGACAAGUUGAGGUCUCCAACAAGCAGAUAAAAGGAAUCUUGUCAAGAGUUGUUGGGGCUUCGAAGAGAGAUUGGUCUACCAAGUUGGAUGACACUCUAUGGGCGUAUAGGACAGCUUUCAAGACACCAAUAGGAAGAACGCCUUUUCAGUUGGUGUAUGGUAAAGCAUGUCAUCUCCCUGUGGAGAUUGAGUAUAAGGCGCUUUGGGCUAUCAAGCUUCUGAACUUGGACAUUGAUGCAGCGCAGGCAAAGAGAGUUCUUGACAUCCAUGAACUUGAGGAAAUCAGACUUGAUGCCUUCGAGAGUUCCAAAAUCUAUAAGGAGAGAACCAAGGCUUUUCAUGAUAAGAAGAUUGUCGUUAAGGAGCUUAAGGCUGGAGAUCACGUCUUGCUGUUCAAUUCCAGACUAAAACUGUUCCCUGGAAAGCUCAAGUCUAGAUGGUCUGGACCAUUUGAAAUCAAAGAUGUUUUGCCAUUUGGUGCGAUCACUCUUCUGAACAAAGAUGGCAGCGAGUUCACUGUGAACGGUCAACGUGUCAAGCGUUACCUAGCUGAUCAAGAGACACCAGAGGGGUCCUCCAUACCUCUCUAUGAGCCCCCCAAAGCCUAAAAGGCAUAAAAGUCAAGCUUAGUGACUUUAAACAAGCUCACUUGUGAGGAAGUCCCAAAGGUAUCCCUGUACAUAUGUUUUAGGAUUUUUUUUUGUGUUUUUGAUUUUUGUUUUUGGUUUUCUGUUGGUCAGGAUUUCAGAUAGAAGGAGUAAUGCAAAACAGAGUGAGGUGGGGAUACAGAAUCGAGUACGAUAAGUGAAAAAUAUAGAAGGGGGGAGUUAAUUAUUUGGGAGUGAUUGAGUUGAGUUUAAAAAAAAAAAAAAAAAAAAAAAAAAAAAAAAAAAAAAAAAAAAAAAAAAAAAAAAAAAAAAAAAACUCACUCGACACACCCAAACCACACAUACCUUAUCUUCACUCGACCUAAUCACUCUCUCAUCACCCUCACUCGAUUUCAUCACUCAACCAUUUUCACUCCUUUCAUCGAUUUCAUCACAUCCUUUCUCUCAUCUCUCUCUCACUCGACUAUAUCCUCUCAACCUUCACUCGAUUAAGAGCUCGCCGUGACCGACGCUUGACUCACUCGACGGAAGCUUCACCACUCGACCAACCGUCGGAGCAUCCUGUUCACUCGACCGUGUUCACUCGAGCUCGCCGAUUCUCCAUCUCUCGCCUCUUCACUCGACCGACAAGUCAAACCACCGUCCUGUUUCUCGCUUCACUCCACGGACUCCACUCGACCCACCAUCUCAUCACCACCACCACUCGAGCUCCAUCCCCAACCGACAAGUACUCGACCCACGUUGUCUUCACCGGUGCUACUCGACCGGAUAGCUUCACUCGACGGUAACGCGCUCGACUCUCACUCGUUCCGCUCCGCCACCCGACCACCGGAGAUAUCAUAAGAAGCCGUCGACGCUAUCCACGCUCCGACUCACUCGACCGAACUACUCGGGCACCUUACUCGACCGUUCAAGACACAACUGGUUCACUCGACCGGGCACUCAUUUGCUCACUCGACCGAGAGUGAUAAGCGUUUGUAUCUCCACUCAUUUCUUUUGCAUUUGCUCAUUUUUCUUAGCUUUUGGAACACUAACAAACUAAUUUUUAGUUUUGAGUUCCAAUUGUUUCAGUUUCACAAUGUCAAGAGAUUUGUUGCAUGAAAUGCGUGAGAAGUAUGGUUGUAAACCAACAGAGCGUGCAUCCCCUCAGUCUAUGUCCAAGGUUUAUAUGGAGAAGAAGAAAGCUGCAUAUGAGAGAGCGUCUGGUGUUGGUCCUUCUCAGGCAAGAAGCAGAGCUAAGUCUUCGGGUAAGAAACCAAUGGAGCUGCAGGAUGAUGAUAGUGAUUAUGAGCUUGAAGAGCAUCCACCUGUCCCAGCUCGCAAGUCAGCGCCGAAGAAGAAGGCAGAGAAGUGGUUAGCCCCAGGAGAGUAUUACAAGCUGUUUCAGCAGCAUGAGUUUCAGGGCACGAGGUAUCCUUGCCAGCAGACGAUGGAUGAGCUGGCUAUCUCGAGUGAUGUCGAGUAUAUGUUCGAGCAUUGUCAUCUCAGCACACUCAUGACUAGUCCGCGAAAUACAUACCGAGAGGAGACAAUUCAGUUCCUCUGCACGCUUGCCAUUCAUCUGUAUGAGGAUGAUCCGGACAUAGAGUCGGAUGGAGGAUUGGGAUACAUCACCUUCACCAUCCAUGAUCAUGAGUAUCUUCUGACCAUCAGAGAGCUGGAAGGUUUGUUUGGAUUCCCUAAUGGAACAGGGACUGGGCAGAGGAUUGAUAGGGAUGAAUUGUUAGCUCUUUGGGAAACAAUUGGGAAUGAUAAGAAGUUCGCUUCAUCUAGGACCAAGAGCAACCACAUCAGAAGUCCAGUUAUCCGCUACUUCCAUCGAUCAGUUGCAAACGUGUUCUUCGCGAGGGAGACAACAGGGACACUGAUCAACGGGGAGCUGGAGAUGAUUGAUCUUGCACUUAAAGAUCUCUUGUUAACAGCAGUAGAUGGGACACUACUGCGAGGUGAUACGACUGAUACAUCCCCCUCGUUCACUCUGUUGCACCAGCUACUCAGUUACAGAACUUGGGUAGUGAAGCUGAGCAGCUGCAGAACUCAGGGAGUUAUGUGUAUGGGAGGGUUGGUGACAGUCAUCUUAGAAGCUUGUAGCGUCCCGCUGAGUUCAGAGCCUAUUGCACCGAGAUUCAUCGACAUUCAGAACUUGAGGCAAGCUCAAUGGUUGCAUUGGGAGAAACGCAACGGGUUGUAUAUGUAUUACUUCACUCACCCCGUACAUGGUGACGUGCGAUUUUUGCUUCCUUGUAUCGCUUUCACUAGGAUACUCGAAGGAAGCAACAUUGAGUUUACUCCCCCUGCAGAGGCUCUCUACACGACAGAUGGUGAGGAAGCAAUGGAGGUAUCUGAGAAAGAGGAUGACGAGAUGGAAGAAGAUUCAGAUGAGUAUAGACCAGAGAGGUAUCACUUCCAGGACUACACAGCGCCUAGACAAGGCAAGAGUUUGGUGGAAGCUCACAAGCGUAUCAGUACACUUCAGAAGUGGAACAUGCUGCAAGACAAGGCAAUAAAAUCUAUGAAAUCGAAGAUGAAAAGCUUCAUGAGUAAGUUUAGCUGCGCCUCCACCACCACAGCUUUUGCAGACACUACUCCGCAGGAUGCNNNNNNNNNNNNNNNNNNNNNNNNNNNNNNNNNNNNNNNNNNNNNNNNNNNNNNNNNNNNNNNNNNNNNNNNNNNNNNNNNNNNNNNNNNNNNNNNNNNNNNNNNNNNNNNNNNNNNNNNNNNNNNNNNNNNNNNNNNNNNNNNNNNNNNNNNNNNNNNNNNNNNNNNNNNNNNNNNNNNNNNNNNNNNNNNNNNNNNNNNNNNNNNNNNNNNNNNNNNNNNNNNNNNNNNNNNNNNNNNNNNNNNNNNNNNNNNNNNNNNNNNNNNNNNNNNNNNNNNNNNNNNNNNNNNNNNNNNNNNNNNNNNNNNNNNNNNNNNNNNNNNNNNNNNNNNNNNNNNNNNNNNNNNNNNNNNNNNNNNNNNNNNNNNNNNNNNNNNNNNNNNNNNNNNNNNNNNNNNNNNNNNNNNNNNNNNNNNNNNNNNNNNNNNNNNNNNNNNNNNNNNNNNNNNNNNNNNNNNNNNNNNNNNNNNNNNNNNNNNNNNNNNNNNNNNNNNNNNNNNNNNNNNNNNNNNNNNNNNNNNNNNNNNNNNNNNNNNNNNNNNNNNNNNNNNNNNNNNNNNNNNNNNNNNNNNNNNNNNNNNNNNNNNNNNNNNNNNNNNNNNNNNNNNNNNNNNNNNNNNNNNNNNNNNNNNNNNNNNNNNNNNNNNNNNNNNNNNNNNNNNNNNNNNNNNNNNNNNNNNNNNAAAACAGAGUGAUCAUGUAGCUUGCAUUUGCAUAUUAGGAUUGAGUCUAGAUUGUUUCAUGUAGGACUGUUGCAUUAGCAUAGGGGGCGAUGAUGAGUUACACCUUGUUGAUUUGCUAUGAUUCACCAGUUGAGAUCAAUGCCCUGGUUGUUAGCUUUUUGAUGCAUGAUGAUUGAACUUGAAGUAAGUCUGAAACAAACUUGGAAUUCAUGAAGAGCAUUCUUGAACUUGGUUGAAACAUGUUGUGAUAUGAUCUCAUUCCUUAUCCUAUAAGAACUUAAUCUUGAUUUGCAAAUAUCUGGUUGUGUUUUGCUUGCAUGCUCAUGGUCACCAUAUACAUAUUUGGAUCAUCUUCCUCCUUUCACCACUCUUGUUGAUCCAAGUAGCUGAUCUUUCUUUUGAUCAGUUUGCCACACCCACAGCCUAUCCUUUUCUUUCAAGCCAAUUGAUAAUUUUUGAGUGGUAGGUCUUUUACCGGAUUAUGCUUGGGGAGAACGUGUUAGGUAUGAGCCGACAGGAUUAAAAUCUUGAGUAGUUCUGAUUUUCACUUUCAAAUCAGAUAGGACUAGGUCGGGGUUCUUACUUGGGUUUGGGAUUGGAAUGAUUGUGGAAAGAAAGAAGAGAAACAGAAAAAGUUGUAUCCUUAGGAGGAGAAUGUUUUCUAGAAGUUUAUAAUCUAGUGAUUGAUUUUCGUGGGGUUAGCAUGAUAUACAGAGAAUGGUUCUGGGAUGUUAAGAAAGAGAAAAAGUUUUGAUGUCUUAUAACGUAAGAAGAAAACAGAACCAUAGUUAAGAAGAAAUCCCCUAUCCACUAGUAUUGAUAAGAAACUUCUCCUAAGGCAAAAAUCAAAAAGAAAAAAAAUGGGAUUGAUGUUGAAGGGUAGACAUAGGGAUCAUCCGGGUUUAGAUGAUUAGGAGUAAGCACUUGGGAACCAUUGGGUAGUCAAGGUUUUAUUCCUGUAUGCAUUUGUUGGUCCUUACCUUUAGCAUUCUCCCUAAAGCUCAAUCCAUUUAUUGAGAGAUCCUUGUCCUGAAAUUGUUUAAACCCUCAUGAUUCUCAAAACCUUUUUCUGCCCAGCCAAGUGAGUUUGUUAAGCCUUGCACAACCGGAUUCAUAUACUUGAAUAAUGAAUGUUAAAAGGAAUGAAUGAUUUGAAUGCAUGUGUAGAUCAAGGGAUAGAAUCAGUUUCAGAUUUGAUGAGUUUGUCUAAAGUCGUUAAGUAAAGUUUUCUCAGCAUGCAUCAAAGACUUAGCAACCAGGACAUUGAUUUUAACUGCUCUAUCUUGCAAGUUACAGGUUCUGAGACCCAUUUUCAAACCUCUCUUCCACUUUGUUUCUUUUUGUUUUGCUUGAGGGCAAGCAAAGACUAAGUUUGGGGGAGUUGAUAAGUCUGUAUUUCAUUGCUUUUUGAGUAUGCAUUCAUCAUCUAUUCAGCAUCAUUCACUUGUUGAUUCGCAUCAUAUUGAUCCCUUUCUGCAUGUUUUACAUACUUAGGUAGGUUUUAUGCAUAUCAUGCAUAUCAUGCAUAUCUUGCAUACAUUGUCCAUAUUUGGAGUGUUUCAGGUACUUAGGAGACAUGCAGGGCGAAGCAGAGGAACAAGCGUUACUCGACAUGCACACGAUCGAGUGGGACGAUCGAGUGAGAAGCAUGGAUGCGUUGCAGUUACAUUGACGUUCGAGUGAGCAGCAGACGUAUACGAUCGAGUGGCAGAUCGAGCAGAAGGGAAGCGAAGCAGAACUACCUGUCACUCGAUGCACUCACUCGAGUGACAUGAUCGAGCAAAGCAAAGAAGUAGCUGAUGGUUUUACAGGUCACUCGACCCACUCACUCGAGUGACACGAUCGAGAAAGCAGAGAAGAUGGUCACUCGAGGUGCUCACUCGACCAACUUAGUCAAAACAACCUUUGAACCGCUUUUACGUUGUCGUUUUAUGUUUUAAGGUUUUCCCAAACAUUGUUAUAAAUAGGCUUCAUUUGGAUUGCCC
Molecule: long non-coding RNA, 34990 nt
Filed under: Capsella rubella
Lineage: Eukaryota; Viridiplantae; Streptophyta; Magnoliopsida; Brassicales; Brassicaceae
Description: long non-coding RNA (CRUB_LNC002208)
Source: RNAcentral